Molecule: ribosomal RNA, 305 nt
Filed under: uncultured bacterium
Lineage: Bacteria
Description: bacterial SSU rRNA
Rfam family: Bacterial small subunit ribosomal RNA
Source: RNAcentral
UCCUACGGGGGGCAGCAGUAGGGAAUUUUCGUCAAUGGGCGCAAGCCUGAACGAGCAAUGCCGCGUGAACGAGGAAGGUCUUCGGAUCGUAAAGUUCUGUUGAAGGGGAAAAAGAGCGGAGAGAGGAAAUGGUCUCCGAUUGAUAUUACCCUUCGCGGAAGUCACGGCUAACUACGUGCCAGCAGCCGCGGUAAUACGUAGGUGGCGAGCGUUAUCCGGAAUGAUUGGGCGUAAAGGGUGCGUAGGCGGCCUGCUAAGUCUGGAGUGAAAGGUACCGGCUCAACCGGUACAGGCUCUGGAAACUG